GCAAAACCACAGAAACAGCAAAACCCAGCCCUUCUGGAUUCUACUAAAAGAAAAAAAAGAAAAAAGAAAAAAGAGAAAAUUUUUGAGUAAGGUUGUAAUAAACGUUAUGCAGAUUACAUCCAUGCAAUUAAAGUUGAACCCAUCCUGGUGUACGAUAUUAAGGAUUCUGUUCUGAAAAAUGAGCUUUUCUCUAUUUAUUCCUUGAAGUGAACAAUCACCCAGUGAAAACAAAAGCUCCUGCUGAAGACAACAGAAGAUAGAGGAUGGAGUAACCUAUCUGGAAAGAAGAAGAACUGCAGAAGCCUUUGACACUCACUGUUUUCAAGAAGAGACUGCAAGAUGCUGGGAAUCAUUGCCCUUGUUCUGCUGCUGAUAGUCCCUGGAAUGCAUUGUGUCACCUGUGAUGUCCGUUCUUCUUCAUGGCAAACCUUUUACCUAGCUGUCUGUUUUACAUCUUAACAAAUGCUUUCAGUCCUGUCCAGGUGUCCAAGUCUCUGCAUCUUUCACAGCUUGUGCUCAUUCUGAAUAAUUCAGGGGACGACAUCCUAAGAAAACGAAUAGUCUAUCUAGCUCUGUAUAACUGCAGAGCAACUGAACUUAAAAUGUUGCAGCUUUCACGAGCAAUGAAGUAAAGACAGUAAAUUCAACUUCAGUAUUCAGAGAUAUUGUUAUCAAAGGCAUUUCAAAGCCCUCUAGUCAUAAUUAAAAACUGAGAAGUAUGUUUUCUCGAAAAGACACGAAAAAGAGAAUAUUUACCUCUUCACAUGGCUUUCUUCUAUAUCAUUGGUUAGUACCAAAAGGAUUCAAACAGUAGUACAUACAAAUCUGCACCUGCACUUAAUCAAAACAAACUACUUCUUAGCAGCCUGCUUAUCAGGCAAUGAGGAAAUUGCUUCUGUAUGUUCACAAAUACACUGAAAAAUAUUAAAUCAUUAAACUAGCCUGACUGGCACAUGUAACAAUAACCCCCAUCCUUUUAAAGCCAUAUUAUAGCUACUAGUAAGAAUCAUUUUAUAAAUCAAAAUAAAUCAGCAAGAAUAAUACCAUUCUAUGGGAAAAUAGAGGAAUUAUAACCUUACUUCCCGCUUCAUAAGGGUGUUCAUUUUAUGUUUUCAUAUUGAUUCAUUUGGUAUCACAUUACUGUGAAUAAACUGUUCUGUGACAAGUGUGUUCUUAAAAAGUUAACUAACUAUGAGGGAAAACUUUCC
Molecule: long non-coding RNA, 1208 nt
Filed under: Gallus gallus (chicken)
Lineage: Eukaryota; Metazoa; Chordata; Aves; Galliformes; Phasianidae
Description: lncRNA (ENSGALG00010014095.1)
Source: RNAcentral